GUGUCAGCAGCCGCGGUAAUACGUAGGGUGCAAGCGUUAAUCGGAAUUACUGGGCGUAAAGCGUGCGCAGGCGGUUUUGUAAGUCAGAUGUGAAAUCCCCGAGCUCAACUUGGGAACUGCGUUUGAAACUACAAGACUAGAAUAUGUCAGAGGGGGGUAGAAUUCCACGUGUAGCAGUGAAAUGCGUAGAGAUGUGGAGGAAUACCAAUGGCGAAGGCAGCCCCCUGGGAUAAUAUUGACGCUCAUGCACGAAAGCGUGGGGAGCAAACAGGAUUAGAAACCCUCGUAGUCC
RNAcentral lists this ribosomal RNA (292 nucleotides) under uncultured Methylotenera sp. RNAcentral's name for it is "partial 16S ribosomal RNA". It matches the Rfam family "Bacterial small subunit ribosomal RNA", at positions 505 to 796 of the family's 1533-position model. Lineage: Bacteria; Pseudomonadati; Pseudomonadota; Betaproteobacteria; Nitrosomonadales; Methylophilaceae. The record is from RNAcentral.